RNAcentral lists this ribosomal RNA (178 nucleotides) under uncultured soil bacterium. RNAcentral's name for it is "partial 16S ribosomal RNA". It matches the Rfam family "Bacterial small subunit ribosomal RNA", at positions 26 to 211 of the family's 1533-position model. The record is from RNAcentral.
AGAUUGAACGCUGGCGGCAGGCCUAACACAUGCAAGUCGAGCGGUAGAGAGGUGCUUGCAUCUCUUGAGAGCGGCGGACGGGUGAGUAAUGCCUAGGAAUCUGCCUAGUGGUGGGGGAUAACGUUCGGAAACGGACGCUAAUACCGCAUACGUCCUACGGGAGAAAGCGGGGGACCUU